RNAcentral lists this ribosomal RNA (1078 nucleotides) under Glutamicibacter nicotianae. RNAcentral's name for it is "bacterial SSU rRNA". It matches the Rfam family "Bacterial small subunit ribosomal RNA", at positions 66 to 1156 of the family's 1533-position model. Lineage: Bacteria; Bacillati; Actinomycetota; Actinomycetes; Micrococcales; Micrococcaceae. The record is from RNAcentral.
ACGAUGAAGCCCUGCUUGCAGGGUGGAUUAGUGGCGAACGGGUGAGUAACACGUGAGUAACCUGCCCCCGACUCUGGGAUAAGCCCGGGAAACUGGGUCUAAUACCGGAUAUGACUUCCUACUGCAUGGUGGGUUGUUGAAAGAUUUAUCGGUGGGGGAUGGACUCGCGGCCUAUCAGCUUGUUGGUGAGGUAAUGGCUCACCAAGGCGACGACGGGUAGCCGGCCUGAGAGGGUGACCGGCCACACUGGGACUGAGACACGGCCCAGACUCCUACGGGAGGCAGCAGUGGGGAAUAUUGCACAAUGGGCGGAAGCCUGAUGCAGCGACGCCGCGUGAGGGAUGACGGCCUUCGGGUUGUAAACCUCUUUCAGUAGGGAAGAAGCGAAAGUGACGGUACCUGCAGAAGAAGCGCCGGCUAACUACGUGCCAGCAGCCGCGGUAAUACGUAGGGCGCAAGCGUUAUCCGGAUUUAUUGGGCGUAAAGAGCUCGUAGGCGGUUUGUCGCGUCUGCCGUGAAAGUCCGAGGCUCAACCUCGGAUCUGCGGUGGGUACGGGCAGACUAGAGUGAUGUAGGGGAGACUGGAAUUCCUGGUGUAGCGGUGAAAUGCGCAGAUAUCAGGAGGAACACCGAUGGCGAAGGCAGGUCUCUGGGCAUUUACUGACGCUGAGGAGCGAAAGCAUGGGGAGCGAACAGGAUUAGAUACCCUGGUAGUCCAUGCCGUAAACGUUGGGCACUAGGUGUGGGGGACAUUCCACGUUUUCCGCGCCGUAGCUAACGCAUUAAGUGCCCCGCCUGGGGAGUACGGCCGCAAGGCUAAAACUCAAAGGAAUUGACGGGGGCCCGCACAAGCGGCGGAGCAUGCGGAUUAAUUCGAUGCAACGCGAAGAACCUUACCAAGGCUUGACAUGUGCCAGACCGCUCCAGAGAUGGGGUUUCCCUUCGGGGCUGGUUCACAGGUGGUGCAUGGUUGUCGUCAGCUCGUGUCGUGAGAUGUUGGGUUAAGUCCCGCAACGAGCGCAACCCUCGUUCCAUGUUGCCAGCACGUAGUGGUGGGGACUCAUGGGAGACUGCCGGG